UUUCAUUCCUGCAGAAACCACAAUAAAGGGACGUGCCCUCAGUUGCCCUGUCUCCCUCUGCCUCAUGACUGACCGCGGUGCAUGACCUGAGUGGCCUUGUGUGGCCUGCUGCUUUCUCCCCAGUGAACUGUGAAUUACUAAUUGAGGCAUAUUUUGUGACUAUGGCAGAGGCAAAAAAGUACAAACAAGUUGUUUUGGGGUGAGAUAAACAUUUAAAUUGGUGAACUUUGAGAGGAAAAUUAGAAGACAAGUAUCCUCAUUUCCACCUGGAUCCAGUCUUUCUUCCUUAUUACUUUUAUUAACAAUAUCAGUUAAGGUUUAUAUGGAUGUCUUGCUUUGGCCUGUACAAAAAACUACUUUGUAUAUGCCUUAUUUUAUUAAUUUUGCUUCUGAAUUUCAUCAAAUUCUCUGAUCAUAACUCUAUAUUCUUGUAAGGAAUGCUCAGAAUUAUACUAUUUCACUCCAAAUUUUAUUAUUAUUGAGACGAAACUGGGUAUAGAAAGUUGUGGGACCAGUUUGUAAUUUAUUGCUUUAAAAUUUGGUCAAGCCACUCAAAUUCUCUAGCUGUACCUAUGAAAUAGCUUUAAUAUUUCAAUCCCCUGCAUUUUCUUUGAAUAAUAUGGAGUUUGAAUUGAAGUGGUCCUGAAUUUGAGUGCUGCAUAUGCUACUUUUGAGAUAUGUGAUCUUGAGCAAGUUGCUUAAUCACAUUAAACCUCAAUUCUCUCAUCUUUAAAAUAGAAAAAAUAAUAGCUACUUUACAGUGUUGAGAAAAGAAUAAGAUGAAACAGUUUAUUAAAAACAUAGAAGAGUGCUUAAGACAUAAUAAAGUCUACAUAAAUUGUGCCUAUUGUUAUUACUAAUAAAAAAAAAAGAAAUUCUACGUGUCAGGAAUUUGAACAAAUUACAGCUGGAUUUGCAUAUUUCUUCCACAAGAUGUAUGUGGUCCCAUCUGAUAAUAGGGAAUUGGUUGGUAACUGGAAUCUUCUUGGAAACCUCUUAAAUCACAGAUCUUGCACUUGUACUGGGAUAAUCUGGAGUGUGUGCUCCUCUGAGUUUGUUGACCAAAUCACCUACAGGUGAACUCUCCAUAUAUGUAUUUUCCUAGUCAAUUCCUACACUGACCUCAAGCAAACACUGAUCAGCUUUCUGUCAUAAUAGAUGCGAUUUACUUUUUUAGAAUUUAAUAAAACUCAAAUUAUACUGUAUGCAUCCUUUUGUGUCUGGAUUGCUUUUUUUUCUCUGCCUUACAUUGUUGAAUAUAUUCUAGGUAUGUUUUACUAAUUGCUUGGUUGUAUAUUAAUGCAUACUGCAUUUUGUUUAUCCAUUCAACUAUUGAUGGAAAUUGGAGUUGUUUUCAGUUUCUGGUUAUAAAUAAAACAGCUAUGAACAUUUACAU
Molecule: long non-coding RNA, 1396 nt
Filed under: Homo sapiens (human)
Lineage: Eukaryota; Metazoa; Chordata; Mammalia; Primates; Hominidae
Description: HSALNT0210381
Source: RNAcentral